RNAcentral lists this ribosomal RNA (433 nucleotides) under uncultured bacterium. RNAcentral describes it as "partial 16S ribosomal RNA". It matches the Rfam family "Bacterial small subunit ribosomal RNA", at positions 29 to 507 of the family's 1533-position model. The record is from RNAcentral.
AACGAACGCUGGCGGCAUGCCUAACACAUGCAAGUCGAACGAGACCUUCGGGUCUAGUGGCGCACGGGUGCGUAACGCGUGGGAACCUGCCCUUAGGUUCGGAAUAACUCCCCGAAAGGGGUGCUAAUACCGGAUAAUGUCUUCGGACCAAAAAUUUAUCGCCUUUGGAUGGGCCCGCGUUGGAUUAGCUAGUUGGCAGGGUAAAAGCCUACCAAGGCGACGAUCCAUAGCUGGUCUGAGAGGAUGAUCAGCCACACUGGGACUGAGACACGGCCCAGACUCCUACGGGAGGCAGCAGUGGGGAAUAUUGGACAAUGGGCGAAAGCCUGAUCCAGCAAUGCCGCGUGAGUGAUGAAGGCCUUAGGGCUGUAAAGCUCUUUUACCCGGGAUGAUAAUGACAGUACCGGGAGAAUAAGCUCCGGCUAACUCCGUG